RNAcentral lists this ribosomal RNA (253 nucleotides) under uncultured bacterium. RNAcentral's name for it is "partial 16S ribosomal RNA". It matches the Rfam family "Bacterial small subunit ribosomal RNA", at positions 524 to 776 of the family's 1533-position model. The record is from RNAcentral.
UACGUAGGUGGCAAGCGUUGUCCGGAUUUACUGGGCGUAAAGCGCACGCAGGUGGCCUAUCUAGUCUGGGGUAAAAUCUCCCGGCUCAACCGGGAGAGGUCUCUGGAUACUGGUAGGCUCGAGGGCAGCAGAGGAGAGCAGAAUUCCCGGUGUAGCGGUGAUAUGCGUAGAUAUCGGGAGGAAUACCAGUGGCGAAGGCGGCUCUCUGGGCUGUCCCUGACGCUGAGGUGCGAAAGCGUGGGGAGCAAACCGG